Molecule: long non-coding RNA, 661 nt
Filed under: Homo sapiens (human)
Lineage: Eukaryota; Metazoa; Chordata; Mammalia; Primates; Hominidae
Description: EPM2A divergent transcript
Source: RNAcentral
CCCUGUCGGGUUUUACCUCCCCCCGGGAGAGCUCAGCCCUGGAUCCCGGCGGGCGGCGGAGCCUCUCUGGAGCCCGGACGGGACAGCCCACCAGGGUCUGCUUCUGUGAGGGGCCGAGGCGUCAUUCCGCGAAGGAAGCUGCUGGAAGGUACACAUCUUGGGAGUUUGCCCUUUGAAGCUCACCUGUGGACCUUUUUUCCUUUCGAAAAGAAGCAUAAGCUGCAAUAAAAAUUUGGUUUCAAGAUAACAAAGUCAGUCCCCAAAAAUCAGUAUUGAGAGUCACUGACAUUAAAUGAUGAAGAUACGAGGAUGGUGUGGGGACCUUUACUCUUCGAAGAUGAGCUAUACAUGCCCCUGAAAAGGCUGUCUGAAGACAGGGGAAGGCUGGAGAUGGCAACUUUGGCCUCUGCCAAGUACUCGUGCUAUUUUCUGUAUGUGAUACUAUCUGUUUUGUAACUCAGAGGCAACACCACAUACCUAGCAUAAGGCUUGAACUCCCUUUGGGGUUAUCAAUUACUUACAUAGCCUUCCUCUAAGGGAAGGCUUGCAAGUGGUUCAUAUUCGACCCUUCCAUGUGAUAAGCAUUCAUGUGGGCUUCACAAUGUAACAGAGGUACACAGAGAUUCUUGUAAACAGAAAAUUUUAUAAAACUGUUAACUGA